This is a long non-coding RNA of Sander lucioperca (pikeperch), 523 nucleotides long. RefSeq lists it as uncharacterized. The record is from RefSeq and is a predicted model, not a curated record. Lineage: Eukaryota; Metazoa; Chordata; Actinopteri; Perciformes; Percidae. The transcript is spliced from 3 exons.
UUUGUACUUUAACGUACUCCUACAUAUUUAACUCAAUGUACCUCUAAAUUGGGCAGUACAAUCUAAAGACCUUGGCAAAGCUAAAUUGCGAAGCUUUUGAGUUUCCGUCCAGCAGCGGGGGAGUGGUAGGGUGUUGAACUUCCAUGUUACGCCGCAAACAGGAAGUGGUUUAUUACAAGGGUGUACAUUGUUCAAUCUGCCCCUAAUUUCUCAUGCAGAAUAACAGUCCAUGCCUAAGGACAUACACAUGCGGAGAGUGAUUAUAUUACAGUCAUAGCGCCACCUGCUGGCAACAGGAAGUCAGCUUCAUGUGACAAACAUUAUCCGAUUAACAUGAAAUUGACAAUGUGGUCUAAACAUGAGUUAGAGCAGGGGUGUCAAACUCAACUUCACAUAAAAAGUUCAUAGACAUGCUUUUAUUUAAGAGAAAAGUAAAAUAUCUUUGACCGUAUUAUUGUAUGUCUUAUAAAGUCUUCUCACUCACAGUUUGGUCGACAUAAACCCCCAAAAAAAGUCUGUAAAA